UACAGAGACUGCAAGCGUUAUUCGGAUUCACUGGGCGUAAAGGGUGCGCAGGUGGCCAAGUGUGUUAGGCGUGAAAGCCCGGGGCUUAACCCCGGAAUUGCACCUAAAACUACCUGGCUAGAGCAUUGGAGAGGGGAGCAGAAUUCACGGUGUAGCAGUGAAAUGCGUAGAUAUCGUGAGGAAUACCAGAGGCGAAGGGCGGCUCCCUGGACAAUUGCUGACACUCAGGCACGAAAGCGUGGGGAGCAAAAGGG
Molecule: ribosomal RNA, 254 nt
Filed under: uncultured bacterium
Lineage: Bacteria
Description: partial 16S ribosomal RNA
Rfam family: Bacterial small subunit ribosomal RNA
Source: RNAcentral